RNAcentral lists this ribosomal RNA (762 nucleotides) under Triticum aestivum (bread wheat). Its description in RNAcentral is "partial small subunit ribosomal RNA". The record is from RNAcentral. Lineage: Eukaryota; Viridiplantae; Streptophyta; Magnoliopsida; Poales; Poaceae.
AUGUCCAUCGUCCCACCGUUCCCGCAGCAUUACAAUAUUUACUCCAUUUACGACACUCGUUAUGCAGUCCUCUCCAAAGAAGAAGGCGACACACUUUUCUACUUGUAUGUGUCAAUGGAGUAUAUCAUGCACACAAAAUGUUUCAAUGUGCGUGUCUAUGUGUUGCAAGAUGGUGUAUGGCGUAUGCAAACCUCGGCCACCACUAAAACCUCUUCUCUGCUAUAUGACAGUAAACCUAUGCUUGUCAACAAUAAAAUCUAUUUCUUUGUCCAAGACAAGAGUGCCUGGAGUGGCGUUCUUUUAUUGGAUUUGUCAGCCACAAGCUUCUCCGCAAUUAAGUUCCCACAAGGGGUGAACUAUGGCUGUUUAAACACCAAGUUGUCACGGGCCGAUGAUGCUUCUAGUGUAUAUCUCAUCAAGCUGAAGGAGUUUCAGCUUCGCAUCUGGCUCUGCAAGGGGGACAACUGGUCAUUGGUGGACACUAUUUGUUUGCAUGACAUGGUUGCUAAUUUGAGGAUGUCGGAUCGCAUUAUUGACAAUGAACAAAAUCCUCCAAUUUGGAUAAGGGAGGUGGGGGACAAUGCUGAGUUUAUGUUCUUGAUGAUGAGUGGAUGCUUGCUCUAUCUGGAUAUCAAGUGCAGGAAACUGCGUAUAUGGUCAGAAGAUGAACCUUCUGAUCCUAUCCAUCCUUUUAUGAUGUUCUGGCCCCCCAAAUUCCCUGCACUCAAGGAUGAUCCUACAAGGUUUGUUUUCUGUCCUUAA